This 860-nucleotide ribosomal RNA is filed under the name uncultured marine bacterium. RNAcentral's name for it is "bacterial SSU rRNA". It matches the Rfam family "Bacterial small subunit ribosomal RNA", at positions 59 to 916 of the family's 1533-position model. The record is from RNAcentral.
CAGUCGAACGGUAACAUUGGGUGCUUGCACCAGAUGACGAGUGGCGCACGGGUGCGUAACGCGUAUGCAAUCUACCUUUUACUGAAGAAUAGCCCAGAGAAAUUUGGAAUAAUCCUUCAUAAUAUCAUUUAUCAGCAUUGAUUUAUGAUUAAAGCUCCGGCGGUAAAAGAUGAGCAUGCGUCCUAUUAGUUUGUUGGUGAGGUAACGGCUCACCAAGACUACGAUAGGUAGGGGCCCUGAGAGGGGGAUCCCCCACACUGGUACUGAGACACGGACCAGACUCCUACGGGAGGCAGCAGUGAGGAAUAUUGGACAAUGGAGGCAACUCUGAUCCAGCCAUGCCGCGUGCAGGAUGACUGCCCUAUGGGUUGUAAACUGCUUUUAUAUAGGAAGAAACACUCCCACGUGUGGGGGCUUGACGGUACUAUAUGAAUAAGGAUCGGCUAACUCCGUGCCAGCAGCCGCGGUAAUACGGAGAAUCCAAGCGUUAUCCGGAAUCAUUGGGUUUAAAGGGUCCGCAGGCGGCCUGUUAAGUCAGAGGUGAAAGCCAACAGCUCAACUGUUGAACUGCCUUUGAUACUGAUAGGCUUGAGUUAUUGUGAAGUGGUUAGAAUGUGUGGUGUAGCGGUGAAAUGCUUAGAUAUCACACAGAAUACCCACUGCGAAGGCAGAUCACUAACAAUAUACUGACGCUCAUGGACGAGAGCGUGGGGAGCGAACGGGAUUAGAUACCCCGGUAGUCCACGCCGUAAACGAUGGAUACUAACUGUUCGACCUUCGGGUUGAGUGGUCAAGCGAAAGUGAUAAGUAUCCCACCUGGGGAGUACGCUCGCAAGAGUGAAACUCAAAGGAAUUGACGG